ACCCGGAUGGCGAAAUGGUAGACGCGGGGGACUUAAAAUCCCCUGAUCGCAAGGUCGUGCGGGUUCGAGUCCCGCUCCGGGUA
RNAcentral lists this transfer RNA (83 nucleotides) under Gemmatimonas aurantiaca. RNAcentral's name for it is "tRNA-Leu". It matches the Rfam family "tRNA". From Rfam's summary of the family: Transfer RNA (tRNA) molecules are approximately 80 nucleotides in length. Lineage: Bacteria; Pseudomonadati; Gemmatimonadota; Gemmatimonadia; Gemmatimonadales; Gemmatimonadaceae. The record is from RNAcentral. RNAcentral also lists the same sequence under 1 other name.